Molecule: unclassified non-coding RNA, 222 nt
Filed under: Hevea brasiliensis (rubber tree)
Lineage: Eukaryota; Viridiplantae; Streptophyta; Magnoliopsida; Malpighiales; Euphorbiaceae
Source: RNAcentral
AUCGUAUAGUAUUACAAUAUGACUCCUACUAUAUACGAAAUGUUCAUUGGACACCUACUUAUCUGUGGACUAACAUAUCUAAGCCAAUUGUGCUCAAGGAGAUGCGAAAAGUGUGACUGCAAGGCUAGCAAGCUUGCCACCAUCAAUUCUCGACCUCGCAAUCCUGACUUGUAUAGGUGCAUUCGGUUCCUCUUCGCUAUAUACAUUUCCUGAGCCAUGUUG